AUUGAGAGUGGCGCACGGGUGCGUAACGCGUAUGCAACCUACCCUAUACAGGGGGAUAGCCCGGAGAAAUCUGGAUUAAUACCCCAUAGUACUAUGAUGAGGCAUUUUGUUAUAGUUAAAGAUUCAUCGGUAUAGGAUGGGCAUGCGUCUGAUUAGCUAGUUGGCGGUGUAACGGACCACCAAGGCGACGAUCAGUAGGGGUUCUGAGAGGAAGGUCCCCCACACUGGCACUGAGAUACGGGCCAGACUCCUACGGGAGGCAGCAGUAGGGAAUAUUGGGCAAUGGACGAGAGUCUGACCCAGCCAUGCCGCGUGCAGGAAGACGGCGUUCUGCGUUGUAAACUGCUUUUAUCUGGGAAGAAAAGGCCCAUGCGUGGGACAUUGCCGGUACCAGAUGAAUAAGCACCGGCUAACUCCGUGCCAGCAGCCGCGGUAAUACGGAGGGUGCAAGCGUUGUCCGGAUUUAUUGGGUUUAAAGGGUGCGUAGGCGGCUAUUUAAGUCAGUGGUGAAAGACUCCGGCUCAACCGGGGCAGUGCCAUUGAUACUGGAUAGCUUGAGUAUUGGAGGGGUACAUGGAAUUGAUGGUGUAGCGGUGAAAUGCAUAGAUACCAUCAGGAACACCGAUAGCGAAGGCAUUGUACUGGCCAAUAACUGACGCUGAUGCACGAAAGCAUGGGGAGCGAACAGGAUUAGAUACCCUGGUAGUCCAUGCCGUAAACGAUGAUUACUCGCUGUUAUGGCUUUAUGUUG
RNAcentral lists this ribosomal RNA (751 nucleotides) under Algoriphagus aestuarii. RNAcentral describes it as "bacterial SSU rRNA". It matches the Rfam family "Bacterial small subunit ribosomal RNA", at positions 88 to 837 of the family's 1533-position model. Lineage: Bacteria; Pseudomonadati; Bacteroidota; Cytophagia; Cytophagales; Cyclobacteriaceae. The record is from RNAcentral.